This 276-nucleotide ribosomal RNA is filed under the name Blastomyces parvus. Its description in RNAcentral is "partial contains small subunit ribosomal RNA, internal transcribed spacer 1, 5.8S ribosomal RNA". The stretch from base 228 to 276 matches the Rfam family "5.8S ribosomal RNA", at positions 1 to 49 of the family's 154-position model. The record is from RNAcentral. Lineage: Eukaryota; Fungi; Ascomycota; Eurotiomycetes; Onygenales; Ajellomycetaceae.
UCCGUAGGUGGACCUGCGGAAGGAUCAUUAACGCGCCGUGGGGGGUCGGACCCUAACCGGGACCCCGGCCCCCUCACCUGGCCACCCUUGUCUAUUUUACCUGUUGCUUCGGCGGGCCUGCAGCGAUGCUGCCGGGGGAGUUCUCUCCCCGGGCCCGUGCCCGCCGAGGACACCGUAGAACUUCUGGUUAAAGAUUGAUGUCUGAGACUAUAACUAUAAUCAGUUAAAACUUUCAACAACGGAUCUCUUGGUUCCGGCAUCGAUGAAGAACGCAGC